GAUGAACGCUGGCGGCGUGCCUAAUACAUGCAAGUCGAGCGAACGGACGAGAAGCUUGCUCCUCUGAUGUUAGCGGCGGACGGGUGAGUAACACGUGGAUAACCUACCUAUAAGACUGGGAUAACUUCGGGAAACCGGAGCUAAUACCGGAUAAUAUUUUGAACCGCAUGGUUCAAAAGUGAAAGACGGUUUUGCUGUCACUUAUAGAUGGAUCCGCGCUGCAUUAGCUAGUUGGUAAGGUAACGGCUUACCAAGGCAACGAUGCAUAGCCGACCUGAGAGGGUGAUCGGCCACACUGGAACUGAGACACGGUCCAGACUCCUACGGGAGGCAGCAGUAGGGAAUCUUCCGCAAUGGGCGAAAGCCUGACGGAGCAACGCCGCGUGAGUGAUGAAGGUCUUCGGAUCGUAAAACUCUGUUAUUAGGGAAGAACAUAUGUGUAAGUAACUAUGCACAUCUUGACGGUACCUAAUCAGAAAGCCACGGCUAACUACGUG
This 497-nucleotide ribosomal RNA is filed under the name uncultured bacterium. RNAcentral's name for it is "partial 16S ribosomal RNA". It matches the Rfam family "Bacterial small subunit ribosomal RNA", at positions 28 to 507 of the family's 1533-position model. The record is from RNAcentral.